Molecule: ribosomal RNA, 489 nt
Filed under: uncultured bacterium
Lineage: Bacteria
Description: partial 16S ribosomal RNA
Rfam family: Bacterial small subunit ribosomal RNA
Source: RNAcentral
GACGAACGCUGGCGGCGUGCUUAACACAUGCAAGUCGAGCGGCAGCAGGCCCCGCAAGGGGUGCUGGCGAGCGGCGAAAGGGAUAGUAAUACGUGGAUAACCUGCCCCUGGGACGGGGAUAGCUGCUGGAAACGGCAAUUAAUACCCGAUGACGUCUCCGGACCAAAGGUGUAAUUCCGCCCGGGGAGGGGUCCGCGUCCUAUUAGCUAGUUGGUGAGGUAACGGCUCACCAAGGCCACGAUGGGUAGCGGGUGUGAGAGCACGACCCGCAUCACUGGGACUGAGACACUGCCCAGACACCUACGGGUGGCUGCAGUCGGGGAUCUUCGGCAAUGGGCGAAAGCCUGACCGAGCGACGCCGCGUGCGGGAUGAAGGGCUUCGGGUUGUAAACCGCUUUCGUAGGGGAGGAAAUUCCGGUGGGAUCACUCAUCGGUUUGACCUAGCCUAGGAAGAAGGACGGGCUAAGUUCGUGCCAGCAGCCGCCGUAA